This 475-nucleotide ribosomal RNA is filed under the name uncultured organism. RNAcentral's name for it is "partial 16S ribosomal RNA". It matches the Rfam family "Bacterial small subunit ribosomal RNA", at positions 330 to 797 of the family's 1533-position model. The record is from RNAcentral.
CGUACACUCCUACGGGAGGCAGCAGUGGGGAAUAUUGCACAAUGGGCGCAAGCCUGAUGCAGCCAUGCCGCGUGUAUGAAGAAGGCCUUCGGGUUGUAAAGUACUUUCAGCGGGGAGGAAGGCGAUAAGGUUAAUAACCUUGUCGAUUGACGUUACCCGCAGAAGAAGCACCGGCUAACUCCGUGCCAGCAGCCGCGGUAAUACGGAGGGUGCAAGCGUUAAUCGGAAUUACUGGGCGUAAAGCGCACGCAGGCGGUCUGUCAAGUCGGAUGUGAAAUCCCCGGGCUCAACCUGGGAACUGCAUUCGAAACUGGCAGGCUAGAGUCUUGUAGAGGGGGGUAGAAUUCCAGGUGUAGCGGUGAAAUGCGUAGAGAUCUGGAGGAAUACCGGUGGCGAAGGCGGCCCCCUGGACAAAGACUGACGCUCAGGUGCGAAAGCGUGGGGAGCAAACAGGAUUAGAAACCCUAGUAGUCCC